RNAcentral lists this long non-coding RNA (999 nucleotides) under Homo sapiens (human). RNAcentral describes it as "long non-coding RNA NONHSAT212812.1". The record is from RNAcentral. Lineage: Eukaryota; Metazoa; Chordata; Mammalia; Primates; Hominidae.
CGCUGGGAGGGGUCGCCUCGGCAGUGUCUGGGGAGUGAGGGCGGAGGGAAGAGUGAGCGCAGGGCUCCGGGACAGAGGUCUCGUGUAACUCCUGGCGCCGCCCAAGGGGUUAAGAUCCUGUGCCGGUAUCAGAAUAUCUGGAACAUCAACCUGCAGUUGCGGCCCAGCCUCAUAACAGGGAUCAUGAAAGACAGUGGAAACAAGCCUCCAGGUCUGCUUCCCCGCAAAGGACUAUACAUGGCAAAUGACUUAAAGCUCCUGAGACACCAUCUCCAGAUUCCCAUCCACUUCCCCAAGGAUUUCUUGUCUGUGAUGCUUGAAAAAGGAAGUUUGUCUGCCAUGCGUUUCCUCACCGCCGUGAACUUGGAGCAUCCAGAGAUGCUGGAGAAAGCGUCCCGGGAGCUGUGGAUGCGCGUCUGGUCAAGGGUGAAAUGAAGACAUCACCGAGCCGCAGAGCAUCCUGGCGGCUGCAGAGAAGGCUGGUAUGUCUGCAGAACAAGCCCAGGGACUUCUGGAAAAGAUCGCAACGCCAAAGGUGAAGAACCAGCUCAAGGAGACCACUGAGGCAGCCUGCAGAUACGGAGCCUUUGGGCUGCCCAUCACCGUGGCCCAUGUGGAUGGCCAAACCCACAUGUUAUUUGGCUCUGACCGGAUGGAGCUGCUGGCGCACCUGCUGGGAGAGAAGUGGAUGGGCCCUAUACCUCCAGCCGUGAAUGCCAGACUUUAAGAUUGCCCGGAGGAAGCAAACUCUUCGUAUAAAAAAAGCAGGCCAUCUGCUUAACCCUUGGCUCCACCAUAAGGCACUGGGACUCGGAUUUCUCUAUCUGAUAGAGGUAUUUUCUGUGGCCCUGGGAGCUGUCUGUCUUUCCCCUACCCCCAAGGAUGCCAGGAAGACGUCCACCAUUAGCCAUGUGGCAACCUUUACUUCUAUGCCUCACAAGUGCCUUUCAGAGAGCCCCAAUUCUGCUUUCCCACAAAAUAAACCUAAUGCCAUCAGGC